AAGGGAGUAUGUGGACCUUCUUGUUAGGAAUUAGUUUAAGAUAGUCCACAGCUCCCUUCU
RNAcentral lists this microRNA precursor (60 nucleotides) under Simian foamy virus. Its description in RNAcentral is "microRNA sfv-mir-S3 precursor". Its record names the gene sfv-mir-S3. The record is from miRBase by way of RNAcentral. Lineage: Riboviria; Pararnavirae; Artverviricota; Revtraviricetes; Ortervirales; Retroviridae.